CAAGUACACUACCGGCCUAACCCGCCGGCUAUGUAUAACCCUUUGUUGUCCGACUCUGUUGCCUCCGGGGCGACCCUGCCUUCGGGCGGGGGCCCCGGGUGGACACUUCAAACUCUUGCGUAACUUUGCAGUCUGAGUAAAUUUAAUUAAUAAAUUA
This 157-nucleotide unclassified non-coding RNA is filed under the name uncultured Cladosporium. RNAcentral's name for it is "sequence contains ITS1". The record is from RNAcentral. Lineage: Eukaryota; Fungi; Ascomycota; Dothideomycetes; Cladosporiales; Cladosporiaceae.